GGCGUGCUUAACACAUGCAAGUCGAACGAACCUUCGGGUUAGUGGCGGACGGGUGAGUAACGCGUGGGAAUCUGCCCUCAGGAGGGGGAUAACGGCUGGAAACGGCCGCUAAUACCCCAUAUGCCGAGAGGUGAAAUGAAUUUCGCCUGAGGAUGAGCCCGCGUCUGAUUAGCUAGUUGGUGGGGUAAAGGCCCACCAAGGCGACGAUCAGUAGCUGGUCUGAGAGGAUGAUCAGCCACACUGGGACUGAGACACGGCCCAGACUCCUACGGGAGGCAGCAGUGGGGAAUUUUCCGCAAUGGGCGAAAGCCUGACGGAGCAACGCCGCGUGAGGGAUGAAGGCCUCUGGGCUGUAAACCUCUUUUCUCAAGGAAGAAGACAUGACGGUACUUGAGGAAUAAGCCACGGCUAAUUCCGUGCCAGCAGCCGCGGUAAUACGGGAGUGGCAAGCGUUAUCCGGAAUUAUUGGGCGUAAAGCGUCCGCAGGCGGCCUUGUAAGUCUGUCGUUAAAGCGUGGAGCUUAACUCCAUUUAAGCGAUGGAAACUACAAGGCUUGAGUGUGGUAGGGGCAGAGGGAAUUCCCGGUGUAGCGGUGAAAUGCGUAGAUAUCGGGAAGAACACCAGUGGCGAAGGCGCUCUGCUGGGCCAUAACUGACGCUCAUGGACGAAAGCCAGGGGAGCGAAAGGGAUUAGAUACCCCUGUAGUCCUGGCCGUAAACGAUGAACACUAGGUGUCGGGGGAAUCGACCCCCUCGGUGUCGUAGCCAACGCGUUAAGUGUUCCGCCUGGGGAGUACGCACGCAAGUGUGAAACUCAAAGGAAUUGACGGGGGCCCGCACAAGCGGUGGAGUAUGUGGUUUAAUUCGAUGCAACGCGAAGAACCUUACCAGGGUUUGACAUCCUGCGAAUCCCUUGGAAACGAGGGAGUGCCUUCGGGAGCGCAGAGACAGGUGGUGCAUGGCUGUCGUCAGCUCGUGUCGUGAGAUGUUGGGUUAAGUCCCGCAACGAGCGCAACCCACGUCUUUAGUUGCCAGCAUUCAGUUGGGCACUCUAGAGAGACCGCCGGUGAUAAACCGGAGGAAGGUGUGGAUGACGUCAAGUCAUCAUGCCCCUUACAUCCUGGGCUACACACGUACUACAAUGCUACGGACAAAGGGCAGCAAGCUCGCGAGAGUUAGCAAAUCCCAUAAACCGUGGCUCAGUUCAGAUCGUAGGCUGCAACUCGCCUACGUGAAGGAGGAAUCGCUAGUAAUCGCAGGUCAGCAUACUGCGGUGAAUACGUUCCCGGGCCUUGUACACACCGCCCGUCACACCAUGGAAGUUGGCCAUGCCCGAAGUCGUUACUCCAACCCUUGUGGAGGAGGACGCCGAAGGUGGGGCUGAUGACUGGGGUGAAGUCGUAACAAGGUAGCCGUACCGGAAGGUGCGGCUGGAUCACCUCCU
RNAcentral lists this ribosomal RNA (1443 nucleotides) under Synechococcus sp. PCC 7920. RNAcentral describes it as "16S ribosomal RNA". It matches the Rfam family "Bacterial small subunit ribosomal RNA". Lineage: Bacteria; Bacillati; Cyanobacteriota; Cyanophyceae; Synechococcales; Synechococcaceae. The record is from RNAcentral.